RNAcentral lists this ribosomal RNA (253 nucleotides) under uncultured bacterium. RNAcentral's name for it is "partial 16S ribosomal RNA". It matches the Rfam family "Bacterial small subunit ribosomal RNA", at positions 524 to 776 of the family's 1533-position model. The record is from RNAcentral.
UACGUAGGGUCCGAGCGUUGUCCGGAAUUAUUGGGCGUAAAGGGCUCGUAGGCGGUCUGUUGCGUCGGGAGUGAAAACUUACAGCUUAACUGUGAGCGUGCUUUCGAUACGGGCAGACUAGAGGUAUUCAGGGGAGAACGGAAUUCCUGGUGUAGCGGUGAAAUGCGCAGAUAUCAGGAGGAACACCGGUGGCGAAGGCGGUUCUCUGGGAAUGACCUGACGCUGAGGAGCGAAAGUGUGGGGAGCGAACAGG